Molecule: non-coding RNA, 692 nt
Organism: Micropterus salmoides (largemouth bass)
Lineage: Eukaryota; Metazoa; Chordata; Actinopteri; Centrarchiformes; Centrarchidae
Source: the annotation of a RefSeq genome assembly
CAUGACUUUGGUCUCCGUCCUCAUCUGGACUCUCCUCUGCUGCUGCUUCACAGAGUCCAGAGGCCAGAUCACAGUGACUCAGCCUGGAGCAGUGAGCUCUGCUCUGGGAGCCUCCGUCUCCAUCAGCUGUAGGGUCAGUGAGGAGGUUUAUGGAGAUUUAUUAGCCUGGUACCAACAGAGAGAUGGAGAAACUCCUAAACUCCUCAUUUACCUUGCUAGCAUUCAAGAAUCAGGGAUUCCAGAUCGUUUUUCAGGCAGUGGAUCAGAGACUGACUUCACUCUGACCAUCAGUGGAGUUCAGGCUGAAGAUGCAGCAGUUUACUACUGUCAGAGUCUCUAUUGACUGUAAAUCCAGUCCAGCAGCUCGUCACUACUCUGGUUCACAAUAUUUCCUGUCCUGGUACCAUCAGAAAACUGGAGAAGCUCCUAAUCUUCUGAUCUACAGAACAUCAGACAGAUAUUCUGGAAUCUCCUCCAGAUUCAGUGGAAGUGGAGCAGGGAAUGGAGUUGACUUCACUCUGACCAUCAGAGGAGUUCAGGCUGAAGAUGCAGCAGUUUACUACUGUCAGGCUCAUUAUUAUAUCAACAGCCAGUAUCUGUUCACACAGUGAAAAAGCGUCGUACAAAAACCUCCCUCAGUCAGACUGAACAGAAACUGAACUGACUGCUGCAGCUGGAAGCUACUGCAGAGA